GUGAAAUCCCCGGGCUUAACCUGGGAACUGCAUUCGAAACUGGCAGGCUAGAGUCUUGUAGAGGGGGGUAGAAUUCCAGGUGUAGCGGUGAAAUGCGUAGAGAUCUGGAGGAAUACCGGUGGCGAAGGCGGCCCCCUGGACAAAGACUGACGCUCAGGUGCGAAAGCGUGGGGAGCAAACAGGAUUAGAUACCCUGGUAGUCCACGCCGUAAACGAUGUCGACUUGGAGGUUGUUCCCUUGAGGAGUGGCUUCCGGAGCUAACGCGUUAAGUCGACCGCCUGGGGAGUACGGCCGCAAGGUUAAAACUCAAAUGAAUUGACGGGGGCCCGCACAAGCGGUGGAGCAUGUGGUUUAAUUCGAUGCAACGCGAAGAACCUUACCUACUCUUGACAUCCAGAGAACUUAGCAGAGAUGCUUUGGUGCCUUCGGGAACUCUGAGACAGGUGC
Molecule: ribosomal RNA, 448 nt
Filed under: bacterium symbiont of Megymenum gracilicorne
Lineage: Bacteria
Description: bacterial SSU rRNA
Rfam family: Bacterial small subunit ribosomal RNA
Source: RNAcentral